AAAAUUAUUGUAAUGGUGGCCCAGUUCAGAUCAGAUCCAUUUGCAAGAAGGCCCAGUUCAAUACAAACAAAAUAAAUUAAUUACCUUUCUCUCAUAUCAGACCAGCUGUACUUCAUUUGGGCAACAAAUUUCUCUCUCUAGCGAUGCGAACAGAAACAAAACCUCAACCCGUGAAAAUGCUUCGCACAACAAACAAAACCCAAAAUCCCUCCUCUGCACAUAUCAGACAAUGAAAGCAACAUCACCUUCAUCCUCCAAUCUCCUUCAGCUGUACUUCAUUGGCUAGAUAUUUGUUACCCCUGUAAAUGUCCCAAUAAAUUCAGAUUCAAGUUGCUUAUGCAGUUUUGGCUACGUAAGAAAUUCUUAUAAUAAUAACUAUAAUAUGUUUCAAGUACCAGUUUUAAUCCUUUUUAAUUACUAUUCUUUUUAAUUGAGGGUAUGAGGCUAAUUAAGGUAUCAAUAUGAUAUCAUUGAACCUUUACUUUACAUUUACCAUGACAUCUUUAUGGUUCUUCAAGUUUUGAAUUAACAUUGAUUCUUCAAGUAGAAAUGUGAUGAANNAAUACACUAUUGUUGAAGUUAGGAAGAUGGUACCUUUAAAGCUAAAUUUUGGCCUUACAUUUUCAAGCGUCUAACUGAAUUUGAAUUUACAUAUUGGAUCUUUGUAUUUCUUUUUUCAGGUACUGCAUAAGCAAUGCUUCAUAUUGUCAUUAUUGCAAUGCUCUGAGUGAAGAAGAAUCAUAACAAUUCAAAUUCUGUUAGUGGAUCAUCUAGAAGCAAGAGUGGAUGAUUGAACUCUUUAGAUUAUACCAUUUCAUUGUUCUCAAUUAGUUGGUUUAUAGGGGCUAUAGCUUUUAAAAUAUUAACACUUAUAUGAUAUUGAUGAAUAAAAUUUAUAUGGUAUCUCUGAAAAUACACACGAGAGGCUGUAUAAGUUUAUGUAGAGUUUGACAUUAAUAUAUUCUAUUCGCUAUUUUCCCGUGCAAAGAAUGCAUAUUUUUUUGAAUUGUGUAAUAUUAAAUCAAAUUUUACGGAUAAUUAAAUCAUACCAGUCCAUCAAGUUGUUUAUUGAAAACCAGAUUUUUUACCUAUAACAUUUUGACAUGAUUUGUUUUCAUAAUAUAUAAUUAUCCAUUUAAUUUGAUCACAAAUUUAUAUAAAAUUUGAAAAUUAAAAAUUAUGUACAAAAUUACUAAAAUUUGGUGCUUCUUGUGCGUUAACACAGGUACUCAGACUAGCUAAAAAUACCUACACCAAAAAAGAAUGUUAUUUUUUUUAUCAAUAAAAAAAAAAGAAUGUUAUUAAAAGUCGGUACUUCCAAGUUCAACUAUCAAUGUUGUUUUUCCGGAUGUAUGAUUAUGCAUUAUAUUUUGGUUUUACAUAGAAAUAAUGCAUAUCUUUUUGAAUUGUGUAAUAUUAAGGCAAAUUUCACGGAUACUAAAAUCUUAAUUGGCCGACGAGUUCUAUAUUGAAUAUAUAUUUAUUUACUAUAACAUUUUGACAAUACGUAUAUUUACCGUACGAAAUUACUACAAGACGGUGUUUCCCGUGCGUUAGCACGGGCACUGGAACUAGU
This 1576-nucleotide long non-coding RNA is filed under the name Trifolium pratense (red clover). RNAcentral's name for it is "long non-coding RNA (TPRA_LNC006409)". Lineage: Eukaryota; Viridiplantae; Streptophyta; Magnoliopsida; Fabales; Fabaceae. The record is from RNAcentral.